AGUAACACGUGAGCAACCUGGCUCUAAGAGGGGGGACGAACAGUUGGAAACGACUGCUAAUACCGCAUAACGUAUCGGGAUGGCAUCUUCCUGAUACCAAAGAUUUUAUCGCUUAGAGAUGGGCUCGCGUCUGAUUAGAUAGUUGGCGGGGUAACGGGCCCACCAAGUCGACGAUCAGUAGCCGGACUGAGAGGUUGAACGGCCACAUUGGGACUGAGACACGGCCCAGACUCCUACGGGAGGCAGCAUG
Molecule: ribosomal RNA, 250 nt
Filed under: uncultured bacterium
Lineage: Bacteria
Description: partial 16S ribosomal RNA
Rfam family: Bacterial small subunit ribosomal RNA
Source: RNAcentral